Molecule: ribosomal RNA, 974 nt
Filed under: Enterococcus faecium
Lineage: Bacteria; Bacillati; Bacillota; Bacilli; Lactobacillales; Enterococcaceae
Description: partial 23S ribosomal RNA
Rfam family: Bacterial large subunit ribosomal RNA
Source: RNAcentral
GGGAACCCAACAUCUUUAAUAGGAUGUUACGAUUGUGUGAAUACAUAGCACAUUCGAGGUAGACGCAGAGAACUGAAACAUCUAAGUACCUGCAGGAAGAGAAAGAAAAUUCGAUUCCCUGAGUAGCGGCGAGCGAAACGGGAAAAGCCCAAACCAGCAAGCUUGCUUGUUGGGGUUGUAGGACUCCAAUAUGGUAGUUCUUUCAGAUAGUCGAAUGACUUGGAAAAGUCAGUCAAAGAGGGUAAAAACCCCGUAGACGAAAUGUGGAAGACACCUAGGAGGAUCCUGAGUACGGCGGAACACGAGAAAUUCCGUCGGAAUCCGGGAGGACCAUCUCCCAAGGCUAAAUACUCCCUAGUGACCGAUAGUGAACCAGUACCGUGAGGGAAAGGUGAAAAGCACCCCGGAAGGGGAGUGAAAUAGAACCUGAAACCGUGUGCCUACAACAAGUCAAAGCCCGUUAAUGGGUGAUGGCGUGCCUUUUGUAGAAUGAACCGGCGAGUUACGAUUGCAUGCGAGGUUAAGUUGAAGAGACGGAGCCGCAGCGAAAGCGAGUCUGAAUAGGGCGUUUGAGUAUGUAGUCGUAGACCCGAAACCAUGUGAUCUACCCAUGUCCAGGUUGAAGGUGCGGUAAAACGCACUGGAGGACCGAACCCACGUACGUUGAAAAGUGCGGGGAUGAGGUGUGGGUAGCGGAGAAAUUCCAAACGAACUUGGAGAUAGCUGGUUCUCUCCGAAAUAGCUUUAGGGCUAGCCUCGGAAUUGAGAAUGAUGGAGGUAGAGCACUGUUUGGACUAGGGGCCCAUCUCGGGUUACCGAAUUCAGAUAAACUCCGAAUGCCAUUCAUUCAUAUCCGGGAGUCAGACUGUGAGUGAUAAGAUCCAUAGUCGAAAGGGAAACAGCCCAGACCACCAGCUAAGGUCCCAAAAUAUAUGUUAAGUGGAAAAGGAUGUGGGGUUGCACAGACAACUAGG